GGAAGAUUGGCGCCGGACGGAUGACUUGCAAACCCGGUCAGGUUCGGAAGAAAGCAGCCGUAGCGAUUCUCGUUCGGGUCGGCGUCCAGUCUUCCACC
This 98-nucleotide signal recognition particle RNA is filed under the name Caedimonas sp. RNAcentral's name for it is "signal recognition particle sRNA small type". It matches the Rfam family "Bacterial small signal recognition particle RNA". From Rfam's summary of the family: The signal recognition particle (SRP) is a universally conserved ribonucleoprotein involved in the co-translational targeting of proteins to membranes. Archaeal SRP consists of a 7S RNA and homologues of the eukaryotic SRP19 and SRP54 proteins. In most bacteria, the SRP consists of a 4.5S RNA and the Ffh protein (a homologue of the eukaryotic SRP54 protein). Lineage: Bacteria; Pseudomonadati; Pseudomonadota; Alphaproteobacteria; Holosporales; Caedimonadaceae. The record is from RNAcentral.